CGCGGCCUAUCAGCUUGUUGGAGAGGUAACGGCUCACCAAGGCAUCGACGGGUAGCUGGUCUGAGAGGAUGAUCAGCCACACUGGGACUGAGACACGGCCCAGACUCCUACGGGAGGCAGCAGUAGGGAAUCUUGUACAAUGGGCGAAAGCCUGAUGCAGCAACGCCGCGUGCGGGAAGAAGGCCCUAGGGUUGUAAACCGCUUUCAGCAGGGAAGAAAAUGACGGUACCUGCAGAAGAAGGUGCGGCCAACUACGUGCCAGCAGCCGCGGUGACACGUAGGCACCAAGCGUUAUCCGGAUUUAUUGGGCGUAAAGAGCUCGUAGGCGGUUCGGUAAGUCGGGUGUGAAAACUCUGGGCUCAACCCAGAGAGGCCACCCGAUACUGCUGUGACUAGAGUGCGGUAGGGGAGCGGGGAAUUCAUGGUGUAGCGGUGAAAUGCGCAGAUAUCAUGAGGAACACCAGUGGCGAAGGCGCCGCUCUGGGCCGUAACUGACGCUGAGGAGCGAAAGCGUGGGUAGCAAACAGGAUUAGAUACCCUGGUAGUCCACGCCGUAAACGAUGGGUACUAGAUGUGGGAGGUGUCGACUCCUCCCGUAUCGUAGCUAACGCACUAGGUACCCCGCCUGGGGAGUACGG
RNAcentral lists this ribosomal RNA (638 nucleotides) under uncultured bacterium. Its description in RNAcentral is "bacterial SSU rRNA". It matches the Rfam family "Bacterial small subunit ribosomal RNA", at positions 232 to 885 of the family's 1533-position model. The record is from RNAcentral.